UACGGAGGGGGCUAGCGUUGUUCGGAAUUACUGGGCGUAAAGCGCACGUAGGCGGCUUUGCAAGUUAGAGGUGAAAGCCCAGAGCUCAACUCUGGAACUGCCUUUGAUACUGUCGAUCUGGAGUAUGGAAGAGGUGAGUGGAAUUCCGAGUGUAGAGGUGAAAUUCGUAAAUAUACGAAGGAACGCCAAAAGCGAAGGCAGCUCUCUGGGUCCCUACCGACGCUGGGGUGCGAAAGCAUGGGGAGCGAACAGG
This 253-nucleotide ribosomal RNA is filed under the name uncultured bacterium. RNAcentral's name for it is "partial 16S ribosomal RNA". It matches the Rfam family "Bacterial small subunit ribosomal RNA", at positions 524 to 776 of the family's 1533-position model. The record is from RNAcentral.